This 887-nucleotide ribosomal RNA is filed under the name Polyangiaceae bacterium LLY-WYZ-15_(1-7). RNAcentral's name for it is "partial 23S ribosomal RNA". It matches the Rfam family "Bacterial large subunit ribosomal RNA", at positions 2041 to 2925 of the family's 2925-position model. Lineage: Bacteria; Pseudomonadati; Myxococcota; Polyangiales; Polyangiaceae. The record is from RNAcentral.
AUUGUACUGAGAGUGAAGAUACUCUCUACCCGCGGCAAGACGGAAAGACCCCGUGAACCUUUACUGCAACUUGGCAGUGAGGCUCGGGACAGUCUGCGUAGGAUAGGUGGGAGACUUAGAAGGCGGGAUUCCGGUCUCGUUGGAGUCACCCUUGAAAUACCACCCUGGCUGUUCUGGGCUUCUAACCUAGGUCCGUAAUCCGGAUCAGGGACACUGUCUGGUGGGCAGUUUGACUGGGGCGGUCGCCUCCCAAAAAGUAACGGAGGCGCGCGAUGGUUCCCUCAGGCUGAUUGGAAACCAGCCGUAGAGUGCAAAGGCAUAAGGGAGCUUGACUGUGAGAGCGACAGCUCGAGCAGGUGCGAAAGCAGGCCUUAGUGAUCCGGUGACUCCAUGUGGAAGGGUCAUCGCUCAACGGAUAAAAGGUACUCCGGGGAUAACAGGCUGAUCGCGCCUGAGAGUUCAUAUCGGCGGCGCGGUUUGGCACCUCGAUGUCGGCUCAUCCCAUCCUGGGGCUGGAGCAGGUCCCAAGGGUUUGGCUGUUCGCCAAUUAAAGGGGUACGCGAGCUGGGUUUAGAACGUCGUGAGACAGUUCGGUCCCUAUCUGCCGUGGGCGUAGGACGCUUGAGAGGAUCUAACCAUAGUACGAGAGGACCUGGUUGGACGUACCUCUAGUGUUCCGGUUGUUCUGCCAAGAGCAUCGCCGGGUAGCUAUGUACGGAACGGAUAACCGCUGAAAGCAUCUAAGCGGGAAGCCGGCCUCGAGAUGAGGCGUCCCGGGCCGCAAGGCCCCUAAAGGCCCCUUGAAGACUACAAGGUAAUAGGCCGGGUGUGGAAGUGCAGCAAUGCAUGGAGCUAACCGGUACUAAUCGGCCGUGAGGCUUGACCUA